GAUGAACGCUGGCGGCGUGCCUAAUACAUGCAAGUCGAGCGAACAGACGAGGAGCUUGCUCCUCUGACGUUAGCGGCGGACGGGUGAGUAACACGUGGAUAACCUACCUAUAAGACUGGGAUAACUUCGGGAAACCGGAGCUAAUACCGGAUAAUAUAUUGAACCGCAUGGUUCAAUAGUGAAAGACGGUUUUGCUGUCACUUAUAGAUGGAUCCGCGCCGCAUUAGCUAGUUGGUAAGGUAACGGCUUACCAAGGCAACGAUGCGUAGCCGACCUGAGAGGGUGAUCGGCCACACUGGAACUGAGACACGGUCCAGACUCCUACGGGAGGCAGCAGUAGGGAAUCUUCCGCAAUGGGCGAAAGCCUGGAGGAGCAACGCCGCGUGAGUGAUGAAGGUCUUCGGAUCGUAAAACUCUGUUAUUAGGGAAGAACAAAUGUGUAAGUAACUAUGCACGUCUUGACGGUACCUAAUCAGAAAGCCACGGCUAACUACGUG
RNAcentral lists this ribosomal RNA (497 nucleotides) under uncultured bacterium. RNAcentral's name for it is "partial 16S ribosomal RNA". It matches the Rfam family "Bacterial small subunit ribosomal RNA", at positions 28 to 507 of the family's 1533-position model. The record is from RNAcentral.